UACGUAGGGUGCAAGCGUUAAUCGGAAUUACUGGGCGUAAAGCGUGCGCAGGCGGCUUUGCAAGACAGAUGUGAAAUCCCCGGGCUCAACCUGGGAACUGCAUUUGUGACUGCAAGGCUGGAGUGUGGCAGAGGGGGAUGGAAUUCCGCGUGUAGCAGUGAAAUGCGUAGAUAUGCGGAGGAACACCGAUGGCGAAGGCAAUCCCCUGGGCCUGCACUGACGCUCAUGCACGAAAGCGUGGGGAGCAAACAGG
This 253-nucleotide ribosomal RNA is filed under the name uncultured bacterium. Its description in RNAcentral is "partial 16S ribosomal RNA". It matches the Rfam family "Bacterial small subunit ribosomal RNA", at positions 524 to 776 of the family's 1533-position model. The record is from RNAcentral.